CCCAAGUGGGAACAUUUGAAAAUACAGAACGCUGAAAGCACAAUACGUUACUCAAUGUACAACCUAUACUCUAUAUAACCCCAUAUACUCCAUGUUCUUCAAUGCACGAUCAAGAAUGUCAUCAUCAGGCUGUAAAGGAAAGGAUUCAUGGCCCGAGCUUGUUGGGGCAAAAGGAGAAGCGGCAGCGGCUACAAUUGAGAAAGAGAAUCCACUGGUUAAUGCUAUCGUGAUAUUGGAAGGAACUGCGACCACUAGGGACUUCAGGUGCGACCGUGUGUGGGUGUGGGUGAAUCAUAAGGGAGUGGUGACUCGAACGCCUAUCAUUACUUGACUGAGCUAAAGGCUAGCUAAUAAAGCAUGAUCGUCAUAUCAAAACUUUAUAAAUAAAUAUAUAUGGCGUGUACUCCUUAUAUAUUUUAUGACUACUGUUGUUCAAGCUUUGUGGUGUUGUAUCGUGGCUAAGACAUGUAUGAUGGCUGAAUGCUUUAAUAAAUAAAAAGUGUGGUGUAUGAGUAUCAAUGUAUCAUAUCUAUCACUUGUUUAAUUAUUUGUUUGUUU
Helianthus annuus (common sunflower) is the source of this 558-nucleotide long non-coding RNA. RefSeq lists it as uncharacterized. Lineage: Eukaryota; Viridiplantae; Streptophyta; Magnoliopsida; Asterales; Asteraceae. The record is from RefSeq and is a predicted model, not a curated record. The transcript has 2 exons.